ACUGCACGCUCAUGGCACGAAUAGCGGUGGCGGAGCUAGACACGAUCUAGAUACCUUGGUCAGUCGACGGCUGUCAACACGAUUGAUGAUACUAGACUUUGGUUUGCAUAGCGAAUCAGUGUCGCAGUUAACCGCGUUAAGUUCUCCGCCUGGGGAGUACGGUCGCAAGGUUGAAACUCAGAGGAAUCGUCGGGGGCCCGCACAAGCGGUGGAGCAUGUGGUUUAAUUCGAUGCAACGCGACGAACCUUACCUACCCUUGACAUCAUGUCGCGGACCUGGAGUCAGGUCUUUCAGUUCGGCUGGACACUGACAGGUGCUGCAUGGCUGUCGUCAGCUCGCGUCGUGAGAUGUUGGGUUAAGUCCCGCAACGAGCGCAACCCCUAUCCUUAGUUGCCAGCAUUCAGUUGGGCACUCUAAGGAGACUGCCGGUGACAAACCGGAGGAAGGUGGGGAUGACGUCAAGUCCUCAUGGCCCUUAUGGGUAGGGCUACACACGUGCUACAAUGGCAAGUACAAAGGGCGGCCAACCCGCGAGGGGGAGCUAAUCCCAUAAAGCUUGUCGUAGUCCGGAUCGCAGUCUGCAACUCGACUGCGUGAAGUCGGAAUCGCUAGUAAUCGUGGAUCAGCAUUGCCACGGUGAAUACGUUCCCGGGCCUUGUACACACCGCCCGUCACACCUAUGGUAUAGUUGGCUGCACCUAGUAUAGUAGUUAGUCUAACCCUCGGAGGACGAUACCA
RNAcentral lists this ribosomal RNA (739 nucleotides) under uncultured marine bacterium. RNAcentral's name for it is "bacterial SSU rRNA". It matches the Rfam family "Bacterial small subunit ribosomal RNA", at positions 738 to 1458 of the family's 1533-position model. The record is from RNAcentral.